This 255-nucleotide ribosomal RNA is filed under the name uncultured bacterium. RNAcentral's name for it is "partial 16S ribosomal RNA". It matches the Rfam family "Bacterial small subunit ribosomal RNA", at positions 524 to 776 of the family's 1533-position model. The record is from RNAcentral.
GACGUAGGGCGCGAGCGUUGUCCGGAUUUAUUGGGCGUAAAGAGCUCGUAGGCGGCUUGUCGCGUCGAAUGUGAAAACCCACGGCUCAACUGUGGGCUUGCAUUCGAUACGGGCAGGCUAGAGUUCGGUAGGGGAGACGUGGAAUUCCUGGUGUAGCGGUGAAAUGCGCAGAUAUCAGGAGGAACACCAAUAGCGAAGGCAGCUCGCUGGGACGUUACUGACACUGAGGCGCGAAAGCGUGGGGGAGCGAACAGG